Molecule: ribosomal RNA, 374 nt
Filed under: uncultured organism
Description: partial 16S ribosomal RNA
Rfam family: Bacterial small subunit ribosomal RNA
Source: RNAcentral
GUAGGUGGCAAGCGUUGUCCGGAAUUAUUGGGCGUAAAGCGCGCGCAGGUGGUUCGUUUAAGUCUGAUGUGAAAGCCCCCGGGCUCAACCGGGGAGGGUCAUUGGAAACUGGGGAACUUGAGUGCAGGAGAGGAAAGUGGAAUUCCACGUGUAGCGGUGAAAUGCGUAGAUAUGUGGAGGAACACCAGUGGCGAAGGCGACUUUCUGGCCUGUAACUGACACUGAGGCGCGAAAGCGUGGGGAGCAAACAGGAUUAGAUACCCUGGUAGUCCACGCCGUAAACGAUGAGUGCUAAGUGUUGGGGGGUUUCCGCCCCUCAGUGCUGCAGCUAACGCAUUAAGCACUCCGCCUGGGGAGUACGGUCGCAAAGACUG